AGUUUCUUUGCAAAAACGCUGUAAAACAGUGCUGAGAACGAAAUCUCUCACUUUCGGAAUCCAUCCGCCAAUUGGAAAAGAACUUUUGAGUUUAGAUAUAGAGAGAAUAUAGACUUGUCGAUAUAGAGAGAGAAAGUGAAGAGAGAGAAACACGUGAAUGAAUAUAGUCCGUAUAUGCAAUGAAGGAUACAGGGAAGAACACGAUUCUCUUCACCUUCCCACCACUUAACGUCGUCGUUCUCCAUUCUCACUACUAUCUCUUCCAAUUCUACUGAUUCGUCUUCUUCUUGCUCUCUCGCGUUCUCAAUCGAUUCUCUCCAAUUCUCUGCAAUUUUCUCUCUAUCUGUUUCUGAUGUCAAGCGAAGCGGCGUCCUCUGGACUGAGCUUGGAAGGUCUGGACGAUGUGGAAGAGUUCGUUUGGGCCAAUGAAGGAGAGUUAUCGAUUUCAUGGGAACGAUUUACUCAGGUUUUUGAUCUCAUGCAGGCAGGGAAUAAGGCAUUCAGGGACAAUCGUUUCGAAGAGGCAAUCAAUUGUUACUCGAGAGCUCAUAACAUUAAACCGGGCGAUCCUGUUAUUUUAAGCAACCGAUGCGCUGCUUAUAUUAGGAUUUGUCAGUAUCUAAAACACAGACCAGCAUCAGCUUCUGAAUAUAGAGCACUGAAUGGGCUGGAUCCUACAACACAUGCUGCGCUUGCACUGAAGGAUGCGGAAAAAGUGGUGAACUUCCGAAGUAAUUCUGUAAAGUCUUACAUUCUGAAGGCCAAUUCACUCACUAUGCUAGAAAGAUAUGAGCUGGCCCGGGAUACUAUUCUUUCUGGCCUUCAGGUUGAUCCUCUUAGCAAUCUUCUUCAGGCUUCUCUACAGAAUUUGGAGAGAAUAAUGGCCGGUAUAAACAGGGGAAGCCGCCAUGGGAAAGCAGAACGUACUGAUGACUUCGAUUGUACUCUUUGCUUGAAGUUACUCUAUGACCCAAUUACAACUCCUUGUGGACAUUCAUUUUGCCGAUCAUGCUUGUUUCAGGCAAUGGACCGAGGUAAUAGAUGUCCACUGUGCCGGACAGUUCUGUUCAUAAGUCCUAGAACAUGUUCAAUCAGUGUAACGCUGAACAACAUAAUACAGAAGAAUUUUCCAGAGGAGUAUGCUGAAAGGAAGUUGGAGCAUGCCAGUUUGAUGAACCUUGGUGUUGAUUUGAUGCCCCUCUUUGUCAUGGAUGUUGUCCUCCCAUGUCAGAGGCUUCAACUCAACAUAUUUGAACCUCGGUACAGACUUAUGGUGAGGAGGAUAAUGGAAGGAAAUCACCGAAUGGGAAUGGUUGUGAUUGAUUCUACGACAGGUUCCAUAGCUGAUGUUGCUUGUGAAGUGGAGAUUACUGAGUGUGAGCCAUUUCCGGAUGGACGUUUUUUUCUAGAGGUUGAAGGUCGUAGGAGAUUCCGUAUCCUCAGAACUUGGGAUCAAGAUGGGUAUCGUGUUGCUGAAGUUGAUUGGGUACGUGAUAUAUAUCCUUCAGAAGGGUCAAAAGAGCGAGAAGAUUUGCAGGAAAUGACAAACAAUGUUGCACAACAUGCUCGGUCAUGGAUGAGGAAUGCACAAGAAGCAGUACAGCAAGAUAGAAGACGACUUCUGGAACUCUAUAAUGCAGAAGUAAUGAUGCCCAAUACACAGGAUCCUGAGCGCUUCAGUUUUUGGCUGGCUACUCUAACUAAUCGAGAGCCAACAGAGAGAUUGAAUCUUCUUCGCAUAAGAGACACAAAAGAGAGGCCAAAAUUUGGUUAUGUUACCUACAACCAUUAGGUUGAUUGUGGAGUAUGGACCUCCAAUGUCGCAGUAAUGAAAUGUUGGGGGGAGGGGAGCUGGGAGAUAAUUGUGCUGCACUGGUAGCCCAGGAUAAGACGGGGGCUCCUUUGUAUGAGAGCAGAAGAACAAGGCUGCAGACUGCAAUGAGAACAAGAUGUAACAGUUCCACCAACAUUCUAUUCUUCUAAUUACUUCAAUUGGAUGAAAAGAAGAAUGAAGAUGCCCGGAAACAUGGUGGAACCAACACUAUCGCGUGCUCCUCAGAUCUCAACCUUUGAAGUUUUAACUGAAUUCCUGAGGGAGACGAUGGUUCUGUACCUUUUCAACUUUGUUAUAGAUUGUUUCUUCUUGUUGAGUUCAACUGAUGUAUUUUAGAGGUGUAUAUAUUAUAUUCAUUUCACAUGCUUAUCGUCCAUGAUUUUUUACUUGCUACUGUAGAAGCUCUCCUUAGCCUUUGCCCUAGGAAUUGAGUUUGUUGUGUGGCAAAUUGUUGUGAUGUUACUGUAGUUUUCUCACAAGAGAAUUGGAUGUGUCACCUCAUAGUGGGAACGGAUUUUAAUCGUUUAA
RNA transcript from Cornus florida, 2362 nucleotides. RefSeq lists it as uncharacterized. The record is from RefSeq and is a predicted model, not a curated record. Lineage: Eukaryota; Viridiplantae; Streptophyta; Magnoliopsida; Cornales; Cornaceae. The transcript is spliced from 20 exons.